GGUUAAAAAGCUCGUAGUUGGAUUUCUGUCAGCGAGUGGCGCUCCGCCCCUUGUGGUGAGUAGUCGUCAUGCCGCCGGCAUCUUUCUGGGGAGCGUGUCUGCACUUCAUUGUGUGGUGCGCAAGCCAGAACUUUUACUUUGAGGAAAUGAGAGUGUUUCAAGCAGGCAAUCGCCGUGAAUACGUUAGCAUGGAAUAAUAGCAUCGGACCUCGUCCCAAAGCUGUUGGUUCCUUGGGAUGAGGUAAAGGUGAAUAGGGAUUGUUGGGGGCAUUCGUAUUACACUGUCAGAGGUGAAAUUCUUGGAUUUGUGUAAGACGGACUACUGCGAAAGCAUCUGCCAAAGAUGUUCUCAUUGAUCAAGAACGAAAGUUGGGGGAUCGAAGACGAUCAGAUACCGUCGUAGUCUCAACUAUAAACUAUACCAGCUAGGGAUCGGCCGACGUUUACUUAUAUCGACUCGGUCGGCACCUUAUGAGAAAUCCAAAGCAUCUGGGUUCCGGGGGGAGUAUGGUCGCAAGGCUGAAACUUAAAGGAAUUGACGGAAGGGCACCACCAGCCGUGGAGCCUG
RNAcentral lists this ribosomal RNA (568 nucleotides) under uncultured marine eukaryote. RNAcentral describes it as "bacterial SSU rRNA". It matches the Rfam family "Eukaryotic small subunit ribosomal RNA", at positions 617 to 1185 of the family's 1831-position model. The record is from RNAcentral.